RNAcentral lists this small RNA (132 nucleotides) under Arabidopsis thaliana (thale cress). RNAcentral describes it as "ATSL167660". Lineage: Eukaryota; Viridiplantae; Streptophyta; Magnoliopsida; Brassicales; Brassicaceae. The record is from RNAcentral.
AAGUACUGAAAUGCAAUAAAAGGUAACUCAACAAGAUGAUACAAAUAACAGGUGAAUAAAAGUGCAAUCAGGGGGUGAAUCUAAGAAGUCUUAAGGAUGGAUUCAUUGAUAAGGGCAAUUCUAGGGUUCAUC